ACAAUACGUUUAUUAUUCAAUGAUAUCGAGAAAAAAAAAUUUUUUUUUUUGUUUUAAGUUUUUAACAACACGAUUUAUUGUCGGAUUCUUGUCUAGAUAUCGAAUCACGAGUGGGAGCAGGAAUUGUCAAUAAAUAUUGCGACCAAAAGAAGGGAUAGAUUAUUUUAGUAUAAAUACAGAAGUAGCGACUGCUCGAUCGUCAAUCGUCAAUAUCUCGUUGUCUAUGUGCAAUUCGUCAUCUUUAACGUGUCAUUGAAAUUGUCUUCAGACUCACGUUCGUUUGUUGGAAUCGUAUUUUCGAAGUUUUCAUAAGUAA
Long non-coding RNA from Aphis gossypii (cotton aphid), 316 nucleotides. RefSeq lists it as uncharacterized. The transcript is spliced from 2 exons. NCBI's taxonomy places the organism in Eukaryota, Metazoa, Arthropoda, Insecta, Hemiptera, Aphididae. The record is from RefSeq and is a predicted model, not a curated record.